Molecule: ribosomal RNA, 497 nt
Filed under: uncultured bacterium
Lineage: Bacteria
Description: partial 16S ribosomal RNA
Rfam family: Bacterial small subunit ribosomal RNA
Source: RNAcentral
GACGAACGCUGGCGGCGUGCCUAAUACAUGCAAGUCGAACGCAUCUUUCCUACCGAGUGCUUGCUCUUAAUUGGAGAGAGGGGUGGCGGAAGGGUGAGUAACACUAGCGUAACCUAUCGAAUAGAGUGGGGUAACAGUAGGUAAUAGGGGCUAAUAUUGUAUACCAGAUUAUGCCACAUUGCAUAAGAGUGUUAGGCGCUCUUGGGUGUGGAUCCGCGCUGCAUUAGCGGGUUGGUAAGGUGACGGCUUACCAAGGCAACGAUGCAUAGCCGACCUGAGAGGGUGAUCGGCCACACUGGAACUGAGACACGGCCCAGACUCCUACGGGAGGCAGCAGUAGGGAAUCUUCGGCAAUGGACGAAAGUCUGACCGAGCAACGCCGCGUGAGUGAUGAAGGUUUUCGGAUCGUAAAACUCUGUUGUUAGAGAAGAACAAAGACGUUAGUAACUGAGCGUCCCCUGACGGUAUCUAAUCAGAAAGCCACGGCUAACUACGUG